ACACGCAUGACACACUGCAUAUUCAAUAAGCGGAGGAAAAGAAACUAACAAGGAUUCCCUAGUAACGGCGAGUGAAGCGGGAAGAGCUCAAAUUUGAAAUCUUCAGGGGUUUCCCUUGACGAAUUGUAGUUUAAGGAAGUGUUUUCUGUUAGAGAGGUGGUAAAAGUUCUUUGGAAUAGGACAUCAUAGAGGGUGAGAAUCCCGUAUUUGAUCACUUUCUACUAACGUUGUGAUACACUUUCAAAGAGUCGGAUUGUUUGGGAAUGCAGUCCAAAAUGGGUGGUAAAUUUCAUCUAAAGCUAAAUAUUGGCGAGAGACCGAUAGCGAACAAGUACCGUGAGGGAAAGAUGAAAAGAACUUUGAAAAGAGAGUUAAACAGUACGUGAAAUUGUCAAAAGGGAAGCGUUUGACACCAGUGUUGUUUUUCCGAAAAUCAAUUAAGAAUGGCCGGAUUUUAAGUUUCACGACCUUAAAAGCUUGUUUCUUACUUUUCUUGUCUUUCUUAAUGCACUUUUCGGUUAACAAGUCAACAUCAAUUUCUUUUGUUGUAAAAGGUUAAGAGGAAGGUGGCUUUACUUUCGGGUAAAGUGUUUAUAGCCUUUUAACUCUGCAAUCGGAGAGAUUGAGGUCUGCAGCGUAGAUCCUUCGGGGCUAGAUACGUUUGUGCUAAGUUAUAGCUUUUCAUAGACAACUUGUUGACUAUGUUUAGUCUUGUAGCUUACUCGCAUGCGCUAUUUUACCUACGCUUAGGAUGUUGAUCUACAGAGCGAGAGU
This 774-nucleotide ribosomal RNA is filed under the name uncultured Neocallimastigales. RNAcentral's name for it is "partial large subunit ribosomal RNA". It matches the Rfam family "Eukaryotic large subunit ribosomal RNA", at positions 20 to 635 of the family's 3401-position model. Lineage: Eukaryota; Fungi; Neocallimastigomycota; Neocallimastigomycetes; Neocallimastigales. The record is from RNAcentral.